RNAcentral lists this ribosomal RNA (253 nucleotides) under uncultured bacterium. RNAcentral describes it as "partial 16S ribosomal RNA". It matches the Rfam family "Bacterial small subunit ribosomal RNA", at positions 524 to 776 of the family's 1533-position model. The record is from RNAcentral.
UACGUAGGGGGCUAGCGUUGUCCGGAUUUAUUGGGCGUAAAGAGCGUGUAGGCGGCCAUGUAGGUCCGGUGUGAAAACUCGAGGCUUAACCUCGAGAUGUCAUCGGAAACCAUUUGGCUAGAGUCCGGAAGAGGAGAGUGGAAUUCCGGGUGGAGCGGUGAAAUGCAUAGAGAUCCGGAAGAACACCGACGGCGAAGGCAGCGUCCUGGCCGAGCACUGACGCUCAGGCACGAAAGCGCGGGGAGCAAACAGG